CGUGUGUGAAGAAGGCCUUAUGGUUGUAAAGCACUUAUAAUGCGAGGAGGACGGCCACUUAAGAUAAUACCUAGAGAUAGUGGAACGUUACUCGCAAAAUAAGCAGCCGGCUAACUCUGUGCCAGCAGCCGCGGUAAUACAGAGGGUGCAAGCGUUAAUCGGAUUUACUGGGCGUAAAGCGCGCGUAGGCGGCUAAUUAAGUCAAAUGUGAAAUCCCCGAGCUUAGCUUGGGAAUUGCAUUCGAUACUGGUUAGCUAGAGUGUGGGAGAGGAUGGUAGAAUUCCAGGUGUAGCGGUGAAAUGCGUAGAGAUCUGGAGGAAUACCGAUGGCGAAGGCAGCCAUCUGGCCUAACACUGACGCUGAGGUGCGAAAGCAUGGGGAGCAAACAGGAUUAGAUACCCUGGUAGUCCAUGCCGUAAACGAUGUCUACUAGCCGUUGGGGCCUUUGAGGCUUUAGUGGCGCAGCUAACGCGAUAAGUAGACCGCCUGGGGAGUACGGUCGCAAGACUAAAACUCAAAUGAAUUGACGGGGGCCCGCACAAGCGGUGGAGCAUGUGGUUUAAUUCGAUGCAACGCGAAGAACUUUACUGGCCUUGACCUAGUAAGAACUUUCCA
Molecule: ribosomal RNA, 615 nt
Filed under: uncultured bacterium
Lineage: Bacteria
Description: bacterial SSU rRNA
Rfam family: Bacterial small subunit ribosomal RNA
Source: RNAcentral